AAGAAAAUUUUGCCGAAUUUCUGUUCGCAGAAAACGGGGGAUCCAUUUUUGGGUGAAUUGAUCUCGCAGUAGAGUGAUCAUAGGGAACCUUCAACCGAACCCUCAAGCUAACCUCGUAGGCACCGGAAGGGGAAACU
RNAcentral lists this small RNA (137 nucleotides) under Paenibacillus sp. RNAcentral's name for it is "c-di-AMP sequence". It matches the Rfam family "c-di-AMP riboswitch aptamer (ydaO/yuaA leader)". Rfam says of the family: This family represents a conserved RNA structure found upstream of the ydaO and yuaA genes in Bacillus subtilis and related genes in other bacteria. RNAcentral also lists the same sequence under 1 other name. Lineage: Bacteria; Bacillati; Bacillota; Bacilli; Caryophanales; Paenibacillaceae. The record is from RNAcentral.